This 29-nucleotide non-coding RNA is filed under the name Homo sapiens (human). The record is from RNAcentral. Lineage: Eukaryota; Metazoa; Chordata; Mammalia; Primates; Hominidae.
UGGUGCAGUGGAAUCUAGAAUUUAGAGUA